This 467-nucleotide ribosomal RNA is filed under the name uncultured bacterium. RNAcentral's name for it is "partial 16S ribosomal RNA". It matches the Rfam family "Bacterial small subunit ribosomal RNA", at positions 28 to 506 of the family's 1533-position model. The record is from RNAcentral.
GACGAACGCUGGCGGCGUGCUUAACACAUGCAAGUCGAACGGAAAGGCCCUGCUUUUGUGGGGUGCUCGAGUGGCGAACGGGUGAGUAACACGUGAGUAACCUGCCCUUGACUUUGGGAUAACUUCAGGAAACUGGGGCUAAUACCGGAUAGGAGCUCCUGCUGCAUGGUGGGGGUUGGAAAGUUUCGGCGGUUGGGGAUGGACUCGCGGCUUAUCAGCUUGUUGGUGGGGUAGUGGCUUACCAAGGCUUUGACGUGUAGCCGGCCUGAGAGGGUGACCGGCCACAUUGGGACUGAGAUACGGCCCAGACUCCUACGGGAGGCAGCAGUGGGGAAUAUUGCACAAUGGGCGGAAGCCUGAUGCAGCAACGCCGCGUGCGGGAUGACGGCCUUCGGGUUGUAAACCGCUUUCGCCUGUGACGAAGCGUGAGUGACGGUAAUGGGUAAAGAAGCACCGGCUAACUACGU